Molecule: long non-coding RNA, 2603 nt
Organism: Lynx canadensis (Canada lynx)
Lineage: Eukaryota; Metazoa; Chordata; Mammalia; Carnivora; Felidae
Exons: 4
Source: RefSeq, a predicted model, not a curated record
UCCCUUCUCUCUACUCCCUAUCCCACACCGUUAGGUUUCUACAGCUCUGGGCUGGGAGCCAAGACUCGCUUCUCUUCUGCUACCUCAGACGACACCUGCCAGGAGAGAGGAACGGGGUGCCUGUGUACCAGAGCAAGAUGAGGUGCCCAGGCCUGGCAGAGAGACCUCUGUCUUCCCAAUACCUCUCAAACAGCAAGGUGAGCUGCCCAGGGGCGUUAGGGAGGGGCAACUCUGAUGCCCCUCACCACCAAAGCCCCUCUAAUUUGGAUGUCCCACUCCACCCCACCUGGAUGUCAAAAGGCCACGCCCUGGCUUCUUAGACCCCUGGGCUUUCACCUGUGGCCAGGAUGAGGGAAGUCCCUAGAUCAGGAACAGAAAGCCACCACCACCGCCCAACCCAUCCUCUAGUUAUCUGGCCCUAGGCCGCUCACUUGCAGGCUGGGUGGCUGGACCGAGUCACAUAAUGUUCCACUGUUACCCCAGCAGCUGGGACAACCAUUGAGACCUCUCCUCCCAAAUAGGCACCCUUGAGGAGGUUGGAGAUGAAGGGCUGGGACAGAGUCUUCUUUGCUGGGGGCGACAGCCUGCUAGGGACUCAACAGCAGUUUCCUUAGAAGGAAGCGGCGCAGUUUGGAAGCCGUGGCAGGCGCCGAGAGCGCCUCUGAACCCGAGCCUGGGAGGGGGGAGAGAGAAGAGGAGACGCAAAGGGGCUGCUCUUUGGCCCCAUUCCCCGACCUUGGAGGAUUCCUCCCCUACCCUCCCCCCAGGCGGCUGCAGUCCCCCCCACUGAGAACGCGACCUCCUCGCCUGGACUCCCGGCUCCGCGGAUUCGGUCUCCCUGACCAGAGCCCUUUCCACCCCACCCUAGCGCUUCCAGUCCCAACCACUGGAGACCUAGUCGAGCGAAGUGGGGAAAGGGCAGCAAGCACCCAACGAGGGACCCAGAAGAGCCUGAUGGCCCUAAGAACCCCUUGUAGAUUUGUGUAGCUGUUAUGACAGUUUUCCAGCAGGUGGCAGACAAGCAUUUCCAGCUACAAGGCAGCCAAGCCGAAGUACAGAUCAGAGACCAUCUUCCAGACUCCCAGGACAGCGAUCUUUCAGUCUCCCAGCAAGUAGGCCCCCUUCCACUUUCUCCAAGUGUAAACUGUCCAGGUGAUAGGAAGAAGAGAGGGGCUGGAAGCUGAACUUGUAGGGACAGAACACAAAAGUUGCAAACUGACGGCACCUACUGGCAACUAUCAAGACUGCAGAAGAUCUGGAGAGUUCUGACGGGGUGGGGGGCGGGAGGGCCCGGGGACAAGAUUCUGGGAUUCUCUCCCUGCUAUCUCACAGACAAACUGGGGUCUUUUCUGUCUUGGAUAAGGGCAAACAGAGCCAGGCUCUUUACGUCCCCGGGGGAAGCCCAGCCUGCACCUGAUUCAGAAAACUUCCCCUAGCUCUAUCCCCCUCCAUCAUCACUGAGGCACCAACGUAUUGUAUGAACUUGGACACCACCCCUUGGAGCUGGAAUUGUCCCUAACUAUAAAAUGGAGGUAUAUCAUCUCCACCUAUUCUGCCUCUUGAAGAGCUUGUGGGAAUAAAAUGGGAACUGAAAGGAUGGGUUCCAACCCCAAAGCCAGACUUGCCCCCUUGACAGCAAACCUGAGAGAGCUAAAGGUGCUGGGACAUGGAGGAAGGAGUUGCAGGAGAGGCUGGACUGAAGCCAAAAGAAGGACCUGGAAGUGAAGCAUGAGUGCAGGUGAGUAUGGGAAAUCCAGAAAGGCUUCCAGGUAAGACAGGUGCCCAGACCCCUAUCCAUCCACUGGUGUUCACCACCCCCACCGCCAAACAUCAGUGUCUGAGAUAAUUCCAAAGAGGCAGGAAAAUAGACGUAAGUAGAUCAUCGAAGCACCUCCCCACCAUUCAUGCAGCACAUAUUUACUGGACACUGUGCACAGGCUUUGUGCUACAUUCAAGGACCCAGAGCUGGCUGAGAUCACUCCCUGCCCACAAGGAGCUCACUGCCUAAUGAGGGGAGACAGGCAUACAAAUAAAAUGAGUCUAAGAAGUGUACAGGUGCCCUGGGAGACAUCCACAUGGGGUGCUGUGGGGACCCAGACACACAAGUGGUCAGUUCUACAUCUGGCGCCUGGAAAGACUUCAUGGAGAAGGUAACUCUUGAGACAACCAUCUUCCAUGCUAGGGGAAAGAGCAUCAGGCCGACCUGGAUUCUAAUCCCUGCUUUGCCACUGGACUUAUUGGGGAACCUGAAAAAAGUUACUCUGAGCUUCACUGUCCUUACCUGGAAAAUAGGGCUUUGUGAUAAAAAAGAAAGAAGGAUGGGGAGGGGACAGACAGAAACAGAGGCUUGUGCAAAUUGCCCAGCAUACAGUGAACACUGUGUGUUUGCUUCUUCCUCUCCUUCUUCUGGAGGCAGGGCCUGUGUUUCCCCAGGCAGACUGGAGGUUCUCAGAGGACUGGGUUUAGUGUCUCCCCCCUGCCUCCCACGGCUUGCUGGUGUCUGGGAGAGGCUACAUAAAGGGCAUAGGAUUUGGAGUCAGAGGACCUGGGUUCAAACUGCAGCACAGCCACUAAAGAGCUGUGUGACCUUGGACACACUUAAG